This 242-nucleotide ribosomal RNA is filed under the name uncultured Actinomycetales bacterium. Its description in RNAcentral is "partial 16S ribosomal RNA". It matches the Rfam family "Bacterial small subunit ribosomal RNA", at positions 88 to 334 of the family's 1533-position model. The record is from RNAcentral. Lineage: Bacteria; Bacillati; Actinomycetota; Actinomycetes; Actinomycetales.
UACUCGAGUGGCGAACGGGUGAGUAACACGUGGGUGAUCUGCCCUGCACUUCGGGAUAAGCUUGGGAAACUGGGUCUAAUACCGGAUAGGACCGCACUUUAGUGUGUGUGGUGGAAAGUUUUUUCGGUGUAGGAUGAGCUCGCGGCCUAUCAGCUUGUUGGUGGGGUAAUGGCCUACCAAGCGGCGACGGGUAGCCGGCCUGAGAGGGUGUACGGCCACAUUGGGACUGAGAUACGGCCCAG